Molecule: ribosomal RNA, 2902 nt
Filed under: Escherichia coli UMEA 3314-1
Lineage: Bacteria; Pseudomonadati; Pseudomonadota; Gammaproteobacteria; Enterobacterales; Enterobacteriaceae
Description: bacterial LSU rRNA
Rfam family: Bacterial large subunit ribosomal RNA
Source: RNAcentral
UUAAGCGACUAAGCGUACACGGUGGAUGCCCUGGCAGUCAGAGGCGAUGAAGGACGUGCUAAUCUGCGAUAAGCGUCGGUAAGGUGAUAUGAACCGUUAUAACCGGCGAUUUCCGAAUGGGGAAACCCAGUGUGAUUCGUCACACUAUCAUUAACUGAAUCCAUAGGUUAAUGAGGCGAACCGGGGGAACUGAAACAUCUAAGUACCCCGAGGAAAAGAAAUCAACCGAGAUUCCCCCAGUAGCGGCGAGCGAACGGGGAGCAGCCCAGAGCCUGAAUCAGUGUGUGUGUUAGUGGAAGCGUCUGGAAAGGCGCGCGAUACAGGGUGACAGCCCCGUACACAAAAAUACACAUAUUGUGAGCUCGAUGAGUAGGGCGGGACACGUGGUAUCCUGUCUGAAUAUGGGGGGACCAUCCUCCAAGGCUAAAUACUCCUGACUGACCGAUAGUGAACCAGUACCGUGAGGGAAAGGCGAAAAGAACCCCGGCGAGGGGAGUGAAAAAGAACCUGAAACCGUGUACGUACAAGCAGUGGGAGCACGCUUAGGCGUGUGACUGCGUACCUUUUGUAUAAUGGGUCAGCGACUUAUAUUCUGUAGCAAGGUUAACCGAAUAGGGGAGCCGAAGGGAAACCGAGUCUUAACUGGGCGUUAAGUUGCAGGGUAUAGACCCGAAACCCGGUGAUCUAGCCAUGGGCAGGUUGAAGGUUGGGUAACACUAACUGGAGGACCGAACCGACUAAUGUUGAAAAAUUAGCGGAUGACUUGUGGCUGGGGGUGAAAGGCCAAUCAAACCGGGAGAUAGCUGGUUCUCCCCGAAAGCUAUUUAGGUAGCGCCUCGUGAAUUCAUCUCCGGGGGUAGAGCACUGUUUCGGCAAGGGGGUCAUCCCGACUUACCAACCCGAUGCAAACUGCGAAUACCGGAGAAUGUUAUCACGGGAGACACACGGCGGGUGCUAACGUCCGUCGUGAAGAGGGAAACAACCCAGACCGCCAGCUAAGGUCCCAAAGUCAUGGUUAAGUGGGAAACGAUGUGGGAAGGCCCAGACAGCCAGGAUGUUGGCUUAGAAGCAGCCAUCAUUUAAAGAAAGCGUAAUAGCUCACUGGUCGAGUCGGCCUGCGCGGAAGAUGUAACGGGGCUAAACCAUGCACCGAAGCUGCGGCAGCGACGCUUAUGCGUUGUUGGGUAGGGGAGCGUUCUGUAAGCCUGUGAAGGUGUGCUGUGAGGCAUGCUGGAGGUAUCAGAAGUGCGAAUGCUGACAUAAGUAACGAUAAAGCGGGUGAAAAGCCCGCUCGCCGGAAGACCAAGGGUUCCUGUCCAACGUUAAUCGGGGCAGGGUGAGUCGACCCCUAAGGCGAGGCCGAAAGGCGUAGUCGAUGGGAAACAGGUUAAUAUUCCUGUACUUGGUGUUACUGCGAAGGGGGGACGGAGAAGGCUAUGUUGGCCGGGCGACGGUUGUCCCGGUUUAAGCGUGUAGGCUGGUUUUCCAGGCAAAUCCGGAAAAUCAAGGCUGAGGCGUGAUGACGAGGCACUACGGUGCUGAAGUAACAAAUGCCCUGCUUCCAGGAAAAGCCUCUAAGCAUCAGGUAACAUCAAAUCGUACCCCAAACCGACACAGGUGGUCAGGUAGAGAAUACCAAGGCGCUUGAGAGAACUCGGGUGAAGGAACUAGGCAAAAUGGUGCCGUAACUUCGGGAGAAGGCACGCUGAUAUGUAGGUGAAGCCACUUGCUCGUGGAGCUGAAAUCAGUCGAAGAUACCAGCUGGCUGCAACUGUUUAUUAAAAACACAGCACUGUGCAAACACGAAAGUGGACGUAUACGGUGUGACGCCUGCCCGGUGCCGGAAGGUUAAUUGAUGGGGUUAGCGCAAGCGAAGCUCUUGAUCGAAGCCCCGGUAAACGGCGGCCGUAACUAUAACGGUCCUAAGGUAGCGAAAUUCCUUGUCGGGUAAGUUCCGACCUGCACGAAUGGCGUAAUGAUGGCCAGGCUGUCUCCACCCGAGACUCAGUGAAAUUGAACUCGCUGUGAAGAUGCAGUGUACCCGCGGCAAGACGGAAAGACCCCGUGAACCUUUACUAUAGCUUGACACUGAACAUUGAGCCUUGAUGUGUAGGAUAGGUGGGAGGCUUGGAAGUGUGGACGCCAGUCUGCAUGGAGCCGACCUUGAAAUACCACCCUUUAAUGUUUGAUGUUCUAACGUUGACCCGUAAUCCGGGUUGCGGACAGUGUCUGGUGGGUAGUUUGACUGGGGCGGUCUCCUCCUAAAGAGUAACGGAGGAGCACGAAGGUUGGCUAAUCCUGGUCGGACAUCAGGAGGUUAGUGCAAUGGCAUAAGCCAGCUUGACUGCGAGCGUGACGGCGCGAGCAGGUGCGAAAGCAGGUCAUAGUGAUCCGGUGGUUCUGAAUGGAAGGGCCAUCGCUCAACGGAUAAAAGGUACUCCGGGGAUAACAGGCUGAUACCGCCCAAGAGUUCAUAUCGACGGCGGUGUUUGGCACCUCGAUGUCGGCUCAUCACAUCCUGGGGCUGAAGUAGGUCCCAAGGGUAUGGCUGUUCGCCAUUUAAAGUGGUACGCGAGCUGGGUUUAGAACGUCGUGAGACAGUUCGGUCCCUAUCUGCCGUGGGCGCUGGAGAACUGAGGGGGGCUGCUCCUAGUACGAGAGGACCGGAGUGGACGCAUCACUGGUGUUCGGGUUGUCAUGCCAAUGGCACUGCCCGGUAGCUAAAUGCGGAAGAGAUAAGUGCUGAAAGCAUCUAAGCACGAAACUUGCCCCGAGAUGAGUUCUCCCUGACUCCUUGAGAGUCCUGAAGGAACGUUGAAGACGACGACGUUGAUAGGCCGGGUGUGUAAGCGCAGCGAUGCGUUGAGCUAACCGGUACUAAUGAACCGUGAGGCUUAACCUU